Molecule: ribosomal RNA, 253 nt
Filed under: uncultured bacterium
Lineage: Bacteria
Description: partial 16S ribosomal RNA
Rfam family: Bacterial small subunit ribosomal RNA
Source: RNAcentral
UACAGGGGGUGCAAACGUUGCUCGGAAUCACUGGGCGUAAAGGGUGCGUAGGCGGGGCUUUAAGUCAGGGGUGAAAUCCUGGAGCUCAACUCCAGAACUGCCUUUGAUACUGAGGAUCUUGAGUUCGGGAGAGGUGAGUGGAACUGCGAGUGUAGAGGUGAAAUUCGUAGAUAUUCGCAAGAACACCAGUGGCGAAGGCGGCUCACUGGCCCGGUACUGACGCUGAGGUGCGAAAGCGUGGGGAGCAAACAGG